UGGCUUAGAUGAUAAAGAAUCUGCCUGCAAGGCAGGAGACCCAGGUUUGAUUCCUGG
This is a transfer RNA of Ovis aries (sheep), 57 nucleotides long. It matches the Rfam family "tRNA", at positions 8 to 63 of the family's 71-position model. Rfam says of the family: Transfer RNA (tRNA) molecules are approximately 80 nucleotides in length. Their secondary structure includes four short double-helical elements and three loops (D, anti-codon, and T loops). Further hydrogen bonds mediate the characteristic L-shaped molecular structure. tRNAs have two regions of fundamental functional importance: the anti-codon, which is responsible for specific mRNA codon recognition, and the 3' end, to which the tRNAs corresponding amino acid is attached (by aminoacyl-tRNA synthetases). tRNAs cope with the degeneracy of the genetic code in two manners: having more than one tRNA (with a specific anti-codon) for a particular amino acid; and 'wobble' base-pairing, i.e. permitting non-standard base-pairing at the 3rd anti-codon position. NCBI's taxonomy places the organism in Eukaryota, Metazoa, Chordata, Mammalia, Artiodactyla, Bovidae. The record is from Rfam.